GGAGUGUGAGGAGCUUAAAUACCUUCAUGUUUUUGCAUAUUCGUACUCUUGGGUGUACUUGCCCGUGUGGUUGGUUAACAUCAAUUUUGGUGGUCAUAAAAUGACUGGAGGAAUGUAGUUUCGAUCUCGUAUUGAAGUGUUAUAGCCUUCGGUAGAUGUGAUGAUCGAGAUUGAGGAUUGCAACGGAUACCCUUCGGGGCUACCUUUCUGGUCUCUGAUCGUUGCUCUGGUGCCGAAAGCUUGCUUACGGUUAUCAAAGUCGAUGGUCAAAAGGUUAGAAUGGGUUAAA
This 289-nucleotide ribosomal RNA is filed under the name uncultured Glomeromycotina. RNAcentral's name for it is "partial large subunit ribosomal RNA". The record is from RNAcentral. Lineage: Eukaryota; Fungi; Glomeromycota.